This 274-nucleotide ribosomal RNA is filed under the name uncultured bacterium. Its description in RNAcentral is "partial 16S ribosomal RNA". It matches the Rfam family "Bacterial small subunit ribosomal RNA", at positions 523 to 796 of the family's 1533-position model. The record is from RNAcentral.
AUACGGAGGGUGCAAGCGUUAUUCGGAAUCACUGGGCGUAAAGGACGCGUAGGCGGGUUUGUAAGUCAGGUGUGAAAUCCUACAGCUCAACUGUAGAACUGCACUUGAAACUACAGACCUAGAGUAUGGAAGGGGCAGAUGGAAUUAGUGGUGUAGGGGUAAAAUCCGUAGAUAUCACUAGGAAUACCGAAAGCGAAGGCGAUCUGCUGGGACAUUACUGACGCUGAGGCGUGAAAGCGUGGGGAGCAAACAGGAUUAGAAACCCGGGUAGUCC